Molecule: long non-coding RNA, 1384 nt
Organism: Pieris brassicae (large cabbage white)
Lineage: Eukaryota; Metazoa; Arthropoda; Insecta; Lepidoptera; Pieridae
Exons: 3
Source: RefSeq, a predicted model, not a curated record
GUUUAUUUUUAAAAUUCACCGUGUAAUUAUAUUUUAUACAACCAAUGCAUAAAUUCUAUUCCACCAAGUAGACACUUUUAUUUCAAAUUGUUUUGUGCUAAACGUAGUCCAUCAAACCAUGGGGUCCCUGAUCAAGCUGCUAUUAGCGUUAAUCAUCAUUGUGCAAUGUUGCACGCACGGACAUCGUGUAAGACGCCAAGCCAAAGGUGAUGGUGAUGGUGAUGGUAGUGAGACAUCUGUUCCCUCAAUCAAUGCAGAAGAGCAUUCUUCUUUCUUCGCGGACGUAACCAACAUGCUUGAAGAUAUACCCUCUGAAUUUAGAAAGUUAAUCGUCGAAAUCAUUGAGCCCAUUAAGAAACUUAAACAUGUAUUAAACAAUGCAUAACUUUCAUUAAACAAUGUAAUGAACUAAAUAAAUAUUUUGAUUUCUAUUUUAUCCUAUGUAGGUUAUAGCUUCUUAAAAAAAACAACAUUCUUUUGGGGUACUCAGUCAAUUAAUAUCAACUUUUCACUUGUGAAUAGUAAGGUAAACUAAACAAAGAGAAAUCAAAUCCUACAAACAAAGAUUCAGAAAGUCGACAUACAAAACAUCCCCUUUAUCUUCUUUCUGAAAGUCAGCAGUAAAAUAAAUGAUUUGAAAGAAGCCUUCGAUUUUGUUAAGUUAAAAAUGAAUUAAGUACAUAUGUAAAUAUGUACCUAUUAUAUGAUUUUUUUAUGUAUCCGAAGACGGAUUAUGUAUUAGCUACUCACUAAUGUAGUAGUAGGUUUACGUAAAAUAAAAGUUUAGGCUUUGAAAUUUUCUUCCCAAGCUUCCUUGGGAGUCCGCGAGAAGGGAAUAAUAAUAAACUUUUAUUACUCAUGAAGACUCUUUUAAUGGAAUCUCGUUGUUGGCCUUAAGGGCCGUUACAACUCAGCUUGACAUGUUUUGACAAGCGUAGCUCGGCCGGAAUUGACGUUUUCUCUGUGGGACCUGAAGGGUAUGAUGGAAGCUCACUGGAGUGAGUUCUUACUUUAAGAAGGCAGGCAGGCAGCGUUUAACUUUUUGUUGGAUCUUCUAGAUCAUUUAGGACAUGCCAGGGCCUCCUGCAAAUCUGCUAAGUAAAACAAUACCGUGUUCCAAAUGCAACAACUGCCAUCGAGUGAUCGGUACGAAAAUUAACUAAUUAAUUAAACAGGCUUAAAUAAACUAUGUAUUUUACAACAUCAUUAAAGAGAAUUCCAGCUCUUAUCAAAUAAAUUAAUGCACCGAUAAAACCUUUAUGAGUCAGUAACAAAAAACAUGUUUCCUUUUUUAGUAGAUAGUCAUUAUGUGCGAUUCUUUAACGCAGUAAGCAUCAGCAAAGGAUUAAAUUUAGCAAUUAAGAUGACAAUUCGCUUUCUCGUC